This 560-nucleotide long non-coding RNA is filed under the name Linum usitatissimum (flax). RNAcentral describes it as "long non-coding RNA (LUSI_LNC006891)". The record is from RNAcentral. Lineage: Eukaryota; Viridiplantae; Streptophyta; Magnoliopsida; Malpighiales; Linaceae.
UUUUUUCUAUUAUCUUCGUCACUUCGUUGGCCAGCUAUACAACAUGUUCUUUCUGUUUUGUAUUAAAUUUUGACUGUUGCGCAUAAUGAAUUGUCUCAGGUCGCAGAAGGAGCAAGGAUACGGGGAGCGUCGAAAAUCAUAGGGGUCGAUUUGAAUCCUGCAAAGUUCGAGUUGGGUAUGGAAACAUUAACACGCAGAUAUAUGUUAUGUCACAUGUUCGAAGGAAUCUAUAGAUACAUGAUGUAUUCUUAAUGCGGGUUGUUGUUUGAUGAUCUAACUGAUAUGCAAUUUGCAGGAAAAAAAUUCGGGAUAACUGACUUUGUCAACCCUACAACUAUAGGGGAAAAGUGUGUAAGCGAGGUUAGCAUCAUCCUCGUAAAAACCUUCAAAUUAGUCGCAUAUCCAAAAAGGUUUGAUGCAUAAGACAUGCAGGAGAUUUAGCUAGAAAUUGAAAUGCAGUGCGCCACACUGACAUGGGAGGGGCUCUUUCUAAAUCCACUCCUGCUUAUAAUUUCAUGUAUGUUGCGGCGUACGUAGGUGAUAAAGGAAUUGACGGAUGG